UACGUAGGGUGCGAGCGUUGUCCGGAAUUAUUGGGCGUAAAGAGCUUGUAGGCGGUCUGUCGCGUCUGCUGUGAAAAUCCGGGGCUCAACCCCGGACUUGCAGUGGGUACGGGCAGACUAGAGUGUGGUAGGGGAGACUGGAAUUCCUGGUGUAGCGGUGAAAUGCGCAGAUAUCAGGAGGAACACCGAUGGCGAAGGCAGGUCUCUGGGCAACAACUGACGCUGAGGAGCGAAAGCGUGGGGAGCGAACAGG
Molecule: ribosomal RNA, 253 nt
Filed under: uncultured bacterium
Lineage: Bacteria
Description: partial 16S ribosomal RNA
Rfam family: Bacterial small subunit ribosomal RNA
Source: RNAcentral